Molecule: long non-coding RNA, 270 nt
Filed under: Nicotiana benthamiana
Lineage: Eukaryota; Viridiplantae; Streptophyta; Magnoliopsida; Solanales; Solanaceae
Description: long non-coding RNA (NBEN_LNC010177)
Source: RNAcentral
GAUUUACCCGGUGAGAGUGUCGCGUGGUGAAGUUCAGGUAUGCUAUGUUUCCAGCAUGUACCAAUUGGCAGAUGUCUUUACCAAACCAAGGCUUUAUCUUCUGCUAAGUCCUCUUCGGUCCAAGCUGAAGGGGAGGAACUACACGAAGCUUGAGGGAGCUGUUAGACCAUAUAUAUCUUUGUCAUACACCGAUCUAUAAAGAUAGAAGCAAGCCUAGUUAGGCUUGAUGUGCCUAAUAUUAUUCUAUCACUAUACCAGGGAUGCCGAUGG